AUCGGUGGCAGUGUCCAAGAUGACCUGGCGUCCGCUGCUGCUAUCCUCCUUAAAGGUGACCACGAUGGAAGGCUCGGGGAAGACUGGCGCGUUGUCAUUAAGGUCCCGCACCAACACUCGCACCUCCGUGGGGAAGUAACCAAAACCUGGAAACAAAAUGGAGGCUCAUCAAUGGGAUUCCAUAUGUCUCAUUUUACAAAUUAGGAAAAUGAGGCCCAUAAAGG
RNAcentral lists this long non-coding RNA (224 nucleotides) under Sarcophilus harrisii (Tasmanian devil). Its description in RNAcentral is "lncRNA (ENSSHAG00000020895.1)". The record is from RNAcentral. Lineage: Eukaryota; Metazoa; Chordata; Mammalia; Dasyuromorphia; Dasyuridae.